RNAcentral lists this ribosomal RNA (630 nucleotides) under Bacillus sp. (in: firmicutes). RNAcentral's name for it is "bacterial SSU rRNA". It matches the Rfam family "Bacterial small subunit ribosomal RNA", at positions 48 to 662 of the family's 1533-position model. Lineage: Bacteria; Bacillati; Bacillota; Bacilli; Caryophanales; Bacillaceae. The record is from RNAcentral.
CUAAUACAUGCAAGUCGAGCGGACCGACGGGAGCUUGCUCCCUUAGGUCAGCGGCGGACGGGUGAGUAACACGUGGGUAACCUGCCUGUAAGACUGGGAUAACUCCGGGAAACCGGGGCUAAUACCGGAUGCUUGAUUGAACCGCAUGGUUCAAUCAUGAAAGGCGGCUUCGGCUGCCGUUUACAGAUGGACCCGCGGCGCAUUAGCUAGUUGGUGAGGUAACGGCUCACCAAGGCGACGAUGCGUAGCCGACCUGAGAGGGUGAUCGGCCACACUGGGACUGAGACACGGCCCAGACUCCUACGGGAGGCAGCAGUAGGGAAUCUUCCGCAAUGGACGAAAGUCUGACGGAGCAACGCCGCGUGAGUGAUGAAGGUUUUCGGAUCGUAAAGCUCUGUUGUUAGGGAAGAACAAGUACCGUUCGAAUAGGGCGGUACCUUGACGGUACCUAACCAGAAAGCCACGGCUAACUACGUGCCAGCAGCCGCGGUAAUACGUAGGUGGCAAGCGUUGUCCGGAAUUAUUGGGCGUAAAGCGCGCGCAGGCGGUUUCUUAAGUCUGAUGUGAAAGCCCCCGGCUCACCGGGGAGGGUCAUUGGAAACUGGGGAACUUGAGUGCAAAGAGGAGAGU